Molecule: long non-coding RNA, 3919 nt
Organism: Wyeomyia smithii (pitcher-plant mosquito)
Lineage: Eukaryota; Metazoa; Arthropoda; Insecta; Diptera; Culicidae
Exons: 3
Source: RefSeq, a predicted model, not a curated record
GAUUAUUGCUUGAAAUUUAUGCCAAUCAAAUAAGCCGUGUUGACUGUUAAAUUAUUUUCAAUCACUAAUAAGGCACUCUCAUUAGUUUCUGAUUUUUCUUUUAACUUAUUUUCAAAAAAUGGUCGAUUAAAUUGGUUGCCUGUUUCUUUGUGGAAUUGCAAAGUAUGAAUGUUAGAAAAAAUCCCAAAAAAUUACUUGCAAAUAGUCAUUUAAAGUUGCGUCCUGAAAAGAUAGUCUGCGUCAUUUUGACUUCUCGCUUUCUGCAAUAUUGCCCCCAUUUUUUUUGCUAACAGUGCGUUGGUUUUUUCUCAUUAUUUCUAAAACAUUAAAGAAAUAUUAGAACCUGAAUUCUGGUCUUUGGUAUUUAUCGAUGAGCUAACACUGUGACCAUUCAAUGAUGUUUUUUGAAAAAAAAAAUACAUUUUCAAUUAUUUAUAAGUCGGGAGUCAUUUCGAUGAAUGAUUAUCCUUUUACGCACAUCAACAUGCGUAACAAAAGCCAGUAAAAAUGAUGAACAUGAAAUAGAAAAAAACUAGAGUAUCGGUAAGGAAUUGCAUCACAUCGACAGAGGUCGCUCUUCGGCAGGUUUUGAAUUAGAAUGCUGUAGAAAACCACUGCUGAAGUAGUUUCAUACCCUUCACAUUUUCGCGAAUGUUAAAAAUGCCUAAACUAACAGAGUUGUAAAUUGUAAAAUCUUAUGGAAUACUUCAAUAAAAAGUGGGUAGCCUCAAUGUUUAUUGGAGUAUUACACACGAUUUUACUAUUAAUAGUGAUAAAGUUUAGUUCAAUCGGAAUAACCGGACAUCGGUUACAACCAUGCAAAGCGAACAAUUCCACGUAAAAAUUGAAAAUUCGCCAUGUGAUGGAUUGUUUACCUGUAAAAAAAUUUCUAAUAGUUUGCAGAUAACAAUUAUUAAAAUUCAAAGAAUUCGUAAUCAAUAUUGUUUUCGAUACGUCUUGCAUGUCCAAGUUCUGUUCGAGACCAUUUUCAGGUUCUUGGUACGGCAGUGCCAAUUCGUUGAAUUGACCCCAAUGCGAUGGUAAGCUCGAUUUGCAUUGUAAAUUAAUUUGAAAUCUUUUAAAAGACCGAGUGUCUGAAAACAGUGCUUCAAAACUUUUUGCUCUUUGUACUUUUCGUUGUUGGUAAACCGGUGUGGUGUUACACCAAUGCAUAAUGGUCCAGAAACCAAAUUUAGGGGGAAAUUUUGGUCUAGAGCACUAUAGCAACAUUUUAGAGAAAAACUUUCUUCUAAAAAGUUGUUACAUAUGAUGAAACGCUUAUUGAAAAAUUAUCAAAAACUAGGGUGACCAACAUUUUCAAUGCAAAUAUGUAUCUAACUUUUUCAUAUUGGUAGAUAGAAGAAAAAUUUGUUCUACAAUGUUAUAGCUCCAUUAAUUUUAAGAAACUUUGUUAAUAAAAAAGUUUUUCUCUAUCUUUGAAAUCAACCGAUUUAUAUUGAAAAAACAUGUAACUUUUUUUUCAAGAUUCAUCUCAAAACUGUCUUUGAACGACUUUUAGUGCUUUUUAAGAGAAACAAUUUGCAACACUGACAUCGUAAAUAUCUCAGUUUUACUCAAAGUUAUUAACAUUUUUCAUAAAAAAAUGCGUUUUUCAUUUGCAUGUCAUUCUUUUGAGGGCAAACUUAAUCUAAUUUGAGUUAAUUUAAUUUAAUUUGACCCAAAAAGAUCGAAAAUCGAUCAACUGGUUCGAAAGUUAUGAAUUUAAAAAAAAAAAAAAUCGAAUAUUGCCGUUUUUUAUGGUCACCCUAUUUCGAAGUUGGUCACGAAAAGUGCUUCAAUUGUGCUUAAAAUCGCAAGGAUGCAUCUAUGUUGAAAAUAAUCAAACCCAUAUUGUUUCGUUGGGUUGUUAAGGGAACUAGCUCCGAAAUAUCCGAAAACUAGCGAAAUACCUAUCCGAAAUUGCUUAAUGUUUGGGUAAGUAACAUCCAUUUUGGCAACCUUGAAUAAUUAUGUGAAUUAUCGCUUUUUGCAUUUUUAAAAUAAAUACAGCCCAAUAUCAGUGAAAGUAAAGUAUGCGCUCACCAUAUGGCUUUUUACGGUACUAAAUUCAUCUGUAUUUAUACACUUGUGUUAUUUGAAAAAAAAAAAAAAUUGAAAUACUUUUUAUUGCAUUUUAUGAGAGGAUAUGUACUUUCAGAUAAAGCAAUUUGAAUAUCCAGAUUUUUUCAACUAGAGUAUCUUUUCUCAAGAAAUCCUAAACGUCUGAGCAGUAGAACCGAUUUGACAGCUAUAGCAAGCGCGUAAUCUGCUGCUGCGCGCCACACGCCGCGAACGAUUAUCUCGAAACUAUUUUUUUUUUUCAAUGUGGCUGUGGUAAGCACUGGUUUUGAAGAACCAUCAACCCGAUCAGCCUGAAUUUUAGACAGGUAUGUUUAUUACAAUAACAGGAUGCUCGGAAAUGGAGCAAUUUCAAUUUAAAGCUAUAUUUUUUUCCUACCGAAAAUUUUUACUUAAAUAACGAAACUUUUUAUAAAAACGAUCACCAUUUUUGAAAUAAAAAUUAAGCAUGCAAAAUCCUCCAUUCAUGUACAGCGUAAAGGUACAACCUACAGGAUUUGUUUGUUUUUUUUUUUUUGUUUUUUUGUUUUAUGUUUUGUUUUUGUGUUUUUGAUAAGUAGUUCUUUCUGUAACAUGUUCACCGCGAGAGACGUUGGAAAAAUUAUGUUUUGGUACAAUGACUGCAGUGACUCUAGUUGUUAAUAUCUUUUUUUUUUUAAAUUUUUGAUCACCUGAUAUGCGUAAAUAAAUAUGCAUUUAUUUUUCUAAAAUAUAAUGUUUGUAUACACCUGGCCGCAAGGUUACAGAGUCUGCUUUGUCGAGCUUUGUCAGUCGAUAUCGAAAAGGAUUAAACAUGGGUUUAUUCUCAGGCUCCCCCACCAUUACGCUGAGUUCUAUAAUACCUUUAUGUGACUUUCUCUUAACAAAAAUAAUUCCCUCUUAUCAAUAAAACCAAAAGGACGCACGAUUUUAGUUGAAAAGUAUUGCACUUUUAGAAAAAUCCUGCAUUUAUUCCUAGGGUCCCAUGAAAAACAAUGAGACAGGUGAGUCCGAUCAGUCAACCUAUAUGUUUCGGGAAAAACACGUUUAUAAGUUUAUGGUCCCAUAAGCUUCUGUACUGGUUAGUGGAACAAAACGAACACAGCUUUGCUAGAUGCUUUGUGAGAUGAUAGUUUACGACAUCAAAUAUUCAAAAUUUUGAGUUCUGUCAUUAACUGACAAUAUAGUGUUAUAUUCACUUCUUCGCAAUGCAUUUUGUUUGGAGAUAAACACUCUGGUGAUACGCUACAGUUUCCAAAAAAAAACAAUCGAUUCUUGGAAAGCUGAGAAGGACCCGACUUUGCAGUGUAAGUAAAUAAAAAAAUGAUCGCAAGUGAUGAAUAAAAUGUAUUUUUUUAUUAUUUUGAAUAACUUCAUGUUAAUUACGAGCGGGAUCUGUACGUGGCCGUAGUCACAGGAAGCUGAGAUCUAUACCGGAUGCGCUUGAAGCUUCCAAUACCGAACUUAAGUGAAACAUACCAACACGAGAGCAUGGAAGAGAGACUCUGCUGCUGGACUACUGCUGCUGUUGGAACCACUGUUGCUGCUGGGACUAUUGCUACUGCUGCUGGGACUGCUGCCGAAUUGUUGCCUCCAAGCAGUUCCGUGGAAACUCUAGGAGCAACUAUUACAACAUGGUCCAACGAUCAACUGAAGGGCUCAGAUAUGUUCAAAGGGAUCGGUAAACUUGCUUCAGCGGGAAAGCCCGGGCUGAUACAAAAAAUUCAGCGAUUGCGACAUCGACCGGGCAAGCAAACCUAUACAACUGGAACGCUGCGUUCAUACACAUAUCCUGUUGUUACCAGGAAAUGGUUUAGUUGAAUGAACAAACAGAAUAAAAUUCAAUUAAAUUCAAUUCAAU